GGGGUGGCUCUCUAUGGCAAAUUGUUGGACCCUGGGAGAAGUUAUCAUCAAUCAUGGGAGGAUAAGCGUUUUUGGUGGCACUAACAACUCGCUGAAAAUUGUUUUUUGUCUACAACGGGUGUGGCUUUUUCCUCUUCUAUUUGUUUAUAUAUUGGCCCGUUAUACAAGACCUUAGUACAAGCGAUUAUAC
Bufo bufo (common toad) is the source of this 190-nucleotide long non-coding RNA. RefSeq lists it as uncharacterized. The transcript is spliced from 3 exons. The record is from RefSeq and is a predicted model, not a curated record. Lineage: Eukaryota; Metazoa; Chordata; Amphibia; Anura; Bufonidae.